CAUGCAAGUCGAACGAAGUAGCAAUACUUAGUGGCAGACGGGUGAGUAACAUGUAGGUAUCUUCCCUUUGGUGAGGAAUAACACGAGGAAACUUGUGCUAAUACCUCAUAAGUCUUUACAGAGAAAGCUUUAUGCGCCGAAGGAUGAGCCUGCACCUGAUUAGUUUGUUGGUGGGGUAAUGGCCUACCAAGACUUUGAUCAAUAGCUGAUCUGAGAGGAUGAUCAGCCACAUUGGGACUGAGACACGGCCCAAACUCCUACGGGAGGCAGCAGUAGGGAAUAUUGCACAAUGGAGGAAACUCUGAUGCAGCGAUGCCGCGUGAGUGAAGAAGGCCUUUGGGUUGUAAAGCUCUUUCGUCGGGGAAGAAAAUGACUGUACCCGAAUAAGAAGGUCCGGCUAACUUCGUGCCAGCAGCCGCGGUAAUACGAAGGGACCUAGCGUAGUUCGGAAUUACUGGGCUUAAAGAGUUCGUAGGUGGUUAAAAAAGUUGGUGGUGAAAUCCCAGAGCUUAACUCUGGAACUGCCAUCAAAACUUUUUAGCUAGAGUAUGAUAGAGGAAAGUAGAAUUUCUAGUGUAGAGGUGAAAUUCGUAGAUAUUAGAAAGAAUACCAAUUGCGAAGGCAGCUUUCUGGAUCAUUACUGACGCUGAGGAACGAAAGCAUGGGUAGCGAAGAGGAUUAGAUACCCUCGUAGUCCAUGCCGUAAACGAUGUGUGUUAGACGUUGGAAAUUUAUUUUCAGUGUCGCAGCGAAAGCAUUAAACACACCGCCUGGGGAGUACGACCGCAAGGUUAAAACUCAAAUGAAUUGACGGGGACCCGCACAAGUAGUGGAGCAUGUGGUUUAAUUCGAAGAUACGCGCAGAACCUUACCAACACUUGACAUGUUCGUCGCGACUUUAAGAGAUUAAAGUUUUCGGUUCGGCCGGACGAAACACAGGUGCUGCAUGGCUG
Molecule: ribosomal RNA, 953 nt
Filed under: uncultured marine bacterium
Lineage: Bacteria
Description: bacterial SSU rRNA
Rfam family: Bacterial small subunit ribosomal RNA
Source: RNAcentral